RNAcentral lists this transfer RNA (73 nucleotides) under Candidatus Woesearchaeota archaeon. Its description in RNAcentral is "tRNA-Thr". It matches the Rfam family "tRNA". Rfam says of the family: Transfer RNA (tRNA) molecules are approximately 80 nucleotides in length. Their secondary structure includes four short double-helical elements and three loops (D, anti-codon, and T loops). The record is from RNAcentral. Lineage: Archaea; Nanobdellati; Candidatus Woesearchaeota.
GCCCCCGUAGCUUAGUAGCUAUAGCGGCAGCUUCGUAAGCUGCAGGUCGAGAGUGCAACUCUCUCCGGGGGCU